ACCAAACAACCUUCCUUCACUCACUAGAACAAUAGAAACACGACGACAACUCGGAGACAAACGAAGAACACGCUGUCGCCAGAGAAGUCGAGAACGUCAGGAAACCCCCACUCCGUUCUUUAUUUCGUUUCGUGGCAGCCCCGGAACUCGUAGACGACGCCGGAGCCGUACGGGAUCACCUCGGAGACCGUUCACCACAUUCGCCUACGUUUUCUGUUGCUCACUCAAUAAACGUUACGACGGAGACGACCGAAGCCACAACGAGACUGUUCAUCUUGUCGGAUAAUCUCUCUUGUUCAUUCUUUUGGAUUUUCCAAUCUUACUCGUGCGUUACUUACAAGAAAUCGCAAACUCAACCAAUGUACUUAAACGCAUUGGAAACUUGGGCUAUCACUUGGACUGCGUAAACUAGCAUGGUUGAUUAUUGAAGUAUGGAUGAUUGAUGAAACAAGUUUAGGAUGGACUAGAUACACACUUAAAUUUAUCUAUCUUUUGUUGUUAUGAUCUUUGUUGAAACAAUGUUGUUAUCUCCUUUUGAAUUUGUAUGACAUUUAGUAUUGCAAUGAAAUUUGAAUUAAAUUAAAUAUUGUCACAUAGUGUUAUGACGUCUCUAGCAAUCUACACACACUUCGUCUCAUCCCGAUGUUUCCGCCAUCGGUUGGGGUGUGACAUGAAUUGUCUCUAUGCAUGGGUUGUUUUGUAGAUUGAGAAGUUGAACGAGGUUAUCAAAGUGCCCGU
This 738-nucleotide long non-coding RNA is filed under the name Helianthus annuus (common sunflower). Its description in RNAcentral is "hypothetical non coding rna". The record is from RNAcentral. Lineage: Eukaryota; Viridiplantae; Streptophyta; Magnoliopsida; Asterales; Asteraceae.